RNAcentral lists this ribosomal RNA (473 nucleotides) under uncultured Clostridium sp. RNAcentral's name for it is "bacterial SSU rRNA". It matches the Rfam family "Bacterial small subunit ribosomal RNA", at positions 882 to 1358 of the family's 1533-position model. The record is from RNAcentral. Lineage: Bacteria; Bacillati; Bacillota; Clostridia; Eubacteriales; Clostridiaceae.
ACGGUNGCAGGAUUAAAAUCAAAAGGAUNGACGGGGCCNGCACAAGCAGCGGGAGCAUNUGNUUUUAAUUGGAAGCAAACGGGAAGAACCUUACCUUAGACUUGACAUCUCCUUGAAUAGCGUAGAGAUACGUGAAGCCCUUCGGGGCAGAAGACAAGGUGGUGCAUGGUUGUCGUCAGCUCGUGUCGUGAGAUGUUGGGUUAAGUCCCGCAACGAGCGCACCCUUAUCAUUAGUUGCUACCAUUAAGUUGAGCACUCUAGUGAGAUGCCCGGGUUAACCGGGAGGAAGGCGGGGAUGACGUCAAAUCAUCAUGCCCCUUAUGUCUAGGGCUACACACGUGCUACAAUGGUGAGAACAACGAGAUGCAAACCGCGAGGUGGAGCCAAACUUGAAAACUCAUCCCAGUUCGGAUUGCAGGCUGAAAUUCGCCUGCAUGAAGUUGGAGUUGCUAGUAAUCGCGAAUCAGAAUGUG